This 335-nucleotide long non-coding RNA is filed under the name Malassezia sympodialis ATCC 42132. The record is from RNAcentral. Lineage: Eukaryota; Fungi; Basidiomycota; Malasseziomycetes; Malasseziales; Malasseziaceae.
GUUGUAUUUUCUUUUGACGCCGUCGCCCUGUCUGUCGGAUUAUUUGCGGUUUUAUGCAGUUAGUUUCGGUCGUGGGCUUGGACUUUUUAUCGGCGGAACUGCACAAGUGCCGAGCCUGACAUUGCGGUCAUCACGUUUUCUUAGAUAGCGCGCCAAGGAUUGCCAACGAAUCAUUCCGUUUUAUUCAUCCUUGUCGAUCCUGGCACGUUCGUUGCACGACCAAAGGGUGCCGGCUGCUCUUUUGACUUCCUUAUCGCUUAUAUAAUGUUCGACUUGCUAUGCUGAUAGUUUGGCAUUCUCCGCCGUGUAGCCAAUGGUGUUUUUAUGUUGUCUGC